RNAcentral lists this ribosomal RNA (468 nucleotides) under uncultured bacterium. Its description in RNAcentral is "partial 16S ribosomal RNA". It matches the Rfam family "Bacterial small subunit ribosomal RNA", at positions 28 to 507 of the family's 1533-position model. The record is from RNAcentral.
GACGAACGCUGGCGGCGUGCUUAACACAUGCAAGUCGAACGGAAAGGCCAUGCGUUUGUGGGGUGCUCGAGUGGCGAACGGGGGAGUAACACGUGAGUAACCUGCCCUUGACUUUGGGAUAACUUCAGGAAACUGGGGCUAAUACCGGAGAGGAUCUCCUGCUGCAUGUGGGGGGUUGGAAAGUUUCGGCGGUUGGGGAUGGACUCGCGGCUUAUGAGCUUGUUGGUGGGGUAGUGACUUACCAAGGCUUUGACGGAUAGCCCGCCUGAGAGGGUGAACGGCCACAUUAGGACUGAGGUACGGAGCAGAAUGGUACGGGAGGCAGCAGUGGGGAGUAUUGCACAAUGGGCGGGAGUGUGAGGCGGCAGCGCUGCGAGCGGGAUGACGGCCUACGAGUGGUGAACCGAUUUCGAAUGUGACGAAGCGUGCGUGACGGUAAUGAGUCAAGAAGCACCGGCUAACUACGUG